CUUUGAACAGCGAUCCUCAGAUCUCAGCUUCUUGAGUAGGUUUGGUGUUUAUUGGGCCCACGGGCUGUAUAUUACCUCCAGUGCCCACAUCCAGCUCGCAUAGCAGUAGCCCCAAAGGGAGAGGGCGAUUUCCUUAAGCACCAUCUGAACCCCAGGCAUCUCCUCACCGACUUCAGUCUCCUCAGCCACAGGAAGUGGGGGCAGCGUCCCAUUUCACAGAUGGAAAGAUCGAGUCUCUGAAGUCUUUGGAAAAUUGAAAGUAAGCUGGGCGGCAAUGGCACCUCCGUGAUUCUAGCUUCUCAUCAGACUGAGAUUGAGGAUAUUCGUUUGAAGCCAGUCCAAGAAAAGUCCAAGAGACCAUUUAUCUCCAAUUCACCACCAAAAAGCUGGAAGUAGA
Molecule: long non-coding RNA, 397 nt
Organism: Dipodomys ordii (Ord's kangaroo rat)
Lineage: Eukaryota; Metazoa; Chordata; Mammalia; Rodentia; Heteromyidae
Exons: 3
Source: RefSeq, a predicted model, not a curated record